Molecule: ribosomal RNA, 792 nt
Filed under: uncultured bacterium
Lineage: Bacteria
Description: bacterial SSU rRNA
Rfam family: Bacterial small subunit ribosomal RNA
Source: RNAcentral
GGUGCGUAACGCGUAGGAAUAUACCUGGUAGUGGGGGACAACCCGGCGAAAGCCGGCUAAUACCGCAUACGAUCUACGGAUGAAAGCAGGGGACCGCAAGGCCUUGCGCUAUCAGAUUAGCCUGCGUCGGAUUAGCUAGUUGGUGAGGUAAAGGCUCACCAAGGCAACGAUCCGUAGCUGGUUUGAGAGAACGACCAGCCACACUGGGACUGAGACACGGCCCAGACUCCUACGGGAGGCAGCAGUGGGGAAUAUUGGACAAUGGGGGCAACCCUGAUCCAGCAAUGCCGCGUGUGUGAAGAAGGCCUUCGGGUUGUAAAGCACUUUCGAUGGGGAAAAACAAGCUAGACCUAACACGUCUGGCCCUGAUGGUACACAGAGAAGAAGCACCUGCUAACUCUGUGCUAGCAGCCGCGGUAAUACAGAGUGUGCAAGCGUUAAUCGGAAUUACUGGGCGUAAAGGGUGCGCAGGUGGUUUGUUAAGUCAGGCGUGAAAUCCCUGGGCUCAACCUGGGAACUGCGUUUGAUACUGUCAGACUCGAGUCUGGUAGAGGGUAGUGGAAUUCCGCAUGUAGUGGUGAAAUGCGUAGAUAUGCGGAGGAACAUCAGUGGCGAAGGCGGCUACCUGGACCAAGACUGACACUGAGGCACGAAAGCGUGGGGAUCAAAACAGGAUUAGAUACCCUGGUAGUCCACGCCCUAUACGAUGGGUACUAGACGUUGCGAGGUUUAUCCUCUUGAUGUCGCAGCUAACUCAGUACGUACCCCGCCUGGGAGUACGGUCGCAGAUUA